AGAGUUUGAUCAUGGCUCAGGAUGAACGCUGGCGGCGUGCCUAAUACAUGCAAGUCGAGCGAACAGAUGAGAAGCUUGCUUCUCUGAUGUUAGCGGCGGACGGGUGAGUAACACGUGGGUAACCUACCUAUAAGACUGGGAUAACUCCGGGAAACCGGGGCUAAUACCGGAUAAUAUAUUGAACCGCAUGGUUCAAUGUUGAAAGACGGUUUCGGCUGUCACUUAUAGAUGGACCCGCGCCGUAUUAGCUAGUUGGUAAGGUAACGGCUUACCAAGGCAACGAUACGUAGCCGACCUGAGAGGGUGAUCGGCCACACUGGAACUGAGACACGGUCCAGACUCCUACGGGAGGCAGCAGUAGGGAAUCUUCCGCAAUGGGCGAAAGCCUGACGGAGCAACGCCGCGUGAGUGAUGAAGGUCUUAGGAUCGUAAAACUCUGUUGUUAGGGAAGAACAAAUUUGUUAGUAACUGAACAAGUCUUGACGGUACCUAACCAGAAAGCCACGGCUAACUACGUGCCAGCAGCCGCGGUAAUACGUAGGUGGCAAGCGUUAUCCGGAAUUAUUGGGCGUAAAGCGCGCGUAGGCGGUUUCUUAAGUCUGAUGUGAAAGCCCACGGCUCAACCGUGGAGGGUCAUUGGAAACUGGGGAACUUGAGUGCAGAAGAGGAGAGUGGAAUUCCAUGUGUAGCGGUGAAAUGCGCAGAGAUAUGGAGGAACACCAGUGGCGAAGGCGGCUCUCUGGUCUGUAACUGACGCUGAUGUGCGAAAGCGUGGGGAUCAAACAGGAUUAGAUACCCUGGUAGUCC
This 807-nucleotide ribosomal RNA is filed under the name uncultured bacterium. RNAcentral describes it as "bacterial SSU rRNA". It matches the Rfam family "Bacterial small subunit ribosomal RNA", at positions 8 to 796 of the family's 1533-position model. The record is from RNAcentral.